Oncorhynchus tshawytscha (Chinook salmon) is the source of this 2419-nucleotide long non-coding RNA. RefSeq lists it as uncharacterized. Lineage: Eukaryota; Metazoa; Chordata; Actinopteri; Salmoniformes; Salmonidae. The transcript is spliced from 3 exons. The record is from RefSeq and is a predicted model, not a curated record.
ACCUGGUUAAAUAGAGGUUAAAUAAAGGUGUUCUCAAUGAGCCUACCUGGUUAAAUAAAAGAAAGAAAGAAAAGGUAUUUAUCUACGUUUUGGUUCUCUGUUGGUAUCCCUCUAUGGUCUGGUUCUCUGUAGGUAUCCCUCUAUGGUCUGGUUCUCUGUUGGUAUCCCUCUAUGGUCUGGUUCUCUGUUGGUAUCCCUCUAUGGUCUGGUUCUCUGUUGGUAUCGUUUUCUAUGGUCUGGUUCUCUGUAGGUAUCCCUCUAUGGUCUGGUUCUCUGUAGGUAUCCCUCUAUGGUCUGGUUCUCUGUUGGUAUCCCUCUAUGGUCUGGUUCUCUGUAGGUAUCCCUCUAUGGUCUGGUUCUCUGUUGGUAUCCCUCUAUGGUCUGGUUCUCUGUAGGUAUCCCUCUAUGGUCUGGUUCUCUGUUGGUAUCCCUCUAUGGUCUGGUUCUCUGUAGGUAUCCCUCUAUGGUCUGGUUCUCUGUUGGUAUCCCUCUAUGGUCUGGUUCUCUGUUGGUAUCCCUCUAUGGUCUGGUUCUCUGUAGGUAUCACUCUAUGGUCUGGUUCUCUGUUGGUAUCCCUCUAUGGUCUGGUUCUCUGUUGGUAUCCCUCUAUGGUCUGGUUCUCUGUAGGUAUCCCUCUAUGGUCUGGUUCUCUGUUGGUAUCCCUCUAUGGUCUGGUUCUCUGUUGGUAUCCCUCUAUGGUCUGGUUCUCUGUUGGUAUCCCUCUAUGGUCUGGUUCUCUGUAGGUAUCCCUCUAUGGUCUGGUUCUCUGUUGGUAUCCCUCUAUGGUCUGGUUCUCUGUUGGUAUCCCUCUAUGGUCUGGUUCUCUGUGGUAUCCCUCUAUGGUCUGGUUCUCUGUUGGUAUCCCUCUAUGGUCUGGUUCUCUGUUGGUAUCCCUCUAUGGUCUGGUUCUCUGUUGGUAUCCCUCUAUGGUCUGGUUCUCUGUAGGUAUCCCUCUAUGGUCUGGUUCUCUGUUGGUAUCCCUCUAUGGUCUGGUUCUCUGUUGGUAUCCCUCUAUGGUCUGGUUCUCUGUUGGUAUCCCUCUAUGGUCUGGUUCUCUGUUGGUAUCCCUCUAUGGUCUGGUUCUCUGUUGGUAUCCCUCUAUGGUCUGGUUCUCUGUAGGUAUCCCUCUAUGGUCUGGUUCUCUGUUGGUAUCCCUCUAUGGUCUGGUUCUCUGUUGGUAUCCCUCUAUGGUCUGGUUCUCUGUAGGUAUCCCUCUAUGGUCUGGUUCUCUGUUGGUAUCCCUCUAUGGUCUGGUUCUCUGUAGGUAUCCCUCUAUGGUCUGGUUCUCUGUUGGUAUCCCUCUAUGGUCUGGUUCUCUGUAGGUAUCCCUCUAUGGUCUGGUUCUCUGUAGGUAUCCCUCUAUGGUCUGGUUCUCUGUAGGUAUCCCUCUAUGGUCUGGUUCUCUGUAGGUAUCCCUCUAUGGUCUGGUUCUCUGUUGGUAUCCCUCUAUGGUCUGGUUCUCUGUAGGUAUCCCUCUAUGGUCUGGUUCUCUGUUGGUAUCCCUCUAUGGUCUGGUUCUCUGUAGGUAUCCCUCUAUGGUCUGGUUCUCUGUUGGUAUCCCUCUAUGGUCUGGUUCUCUGUAGGUAUCCCUCUAUGGUCUGGUUCUCUGUAGGUAUCCCUCUAUGGUCUGGUUCUCUGUAGGUAUCCCUCUAUGGUCUGGUUCUCUGUUGGUAUCCCUCUAUGGUCUGGUUCUCUGUUGGUAUCCCUCUAUGGUCUGGUUCUCUGUUGGUAUCCCUCUAUGGUCUGGUUCUCUGUUGGUAUCCCUCUAUGGUCUGGUUCUCUGUUGGUAUCCCUCUAUGGUCUGGUUCUCUGUAGGUAUCCCUCUAUGGUCUGGUUCUCUGUAGGUAUCCCUCUAUGGUCUGGUUCUCUGUAGGUAUCCCUCUAUGGUCUGGUUCUCUGUUGGUAUCCCUCUAUGGUCUGGUUCUCUGUAGGUAUCCCUCUAUGGUCUGGUUCUCUGUUGGUAUCCCUCUAUGGUCUGGUUCUCUGUAGGUAUCCCUCUAUGGUCUGGUUCUCUGUUGGUAUCCCUCUAUGGUCUGGUUCUCUGUAGGUAUCCCUCUAUGGUCUGGUUCUCUGUUGGUAUCCAUCUAUGGUCUGGUUCUCUGUUGGUAUCCCUCUAUGGUCUGGUUCUCUGUAGCUAUCUCUCUAGGUUCUGGUUCUCUGUAGGUAUCCCUCUAUGGUCUGGUUCUCUGUAGGUAUCCCUCUAUGGUCUGGUUCUCUGUAGCUAUCUCUAUAGGGUCUGCAUCUCUGUAGCUAUCUCUCUAGGGUCUGCUUCUCUGUAGCUAUCUCUCUAGGGUCUGCUUCUCUGUAGCUAUCUCUCUAGGGUCUGCUUCUCUGUAGCUAUCUCUCUAGGGUCUGGUUCUCUGUAGCUAUCUCUCUACGGUCUGGUUCUCUGUAGCUAUCUCUCUACGGUCUGGUUCUC